AUGGGACUGUGUUCUCAUAAUGGAUUGUUAGUGAUGCUGCUGUUUCAUCUUUGCCAGGCACAAGAUGAUGCUCUCCCCUCUCCUGACCCUGAGCCGGCCCCACCAAGCCUGGGUGAAAUGAUUGAUGCAGUGAAGGCAGCAUUUGAGCAGGCGGUACAGAUUUCGACAACGGGUGCCAUACGCGAGGCCUUGGAGCAGGUUGUAGAUGAACUCGCGCCACAGAAGACUCAGGCAGAGCAGUCACCAGUGGUGGAGACUGCAGCAGAUUAUACAACAGAAGAAGCAGCUGAAGAGGAGGCAUUGGUGCUCCCUGCAGGAGAACCAGACGUCCUUAUGUCAGAAUCAAGUGAACAGACAUCAGAUCAACCAGCUCAAGAAGGACUGACUCAAGAUAUAGAACCUGCAGAGGAGAUUCAAGAACUGGCCAAGUCAUCAAUUUCAAAGCCAGAAGAGAAAUCGGAAAAGAAACCAAUGGAGCUGGACCUUGAGGCAGUAGAAUCAAUUUUGCAAGACCCUGACAUUGUUGAAAUGGGUGAACCAGUGACUGAGGAAAGCCAUUCAGAGGAAUCACCUGUCCAGUCAUAUCCUGACACACAAAAAGAAAACGAAUCAGGAAGAGGAGCUGUGGAAAUGAACAAGGGAAGCAAGGAGGCUGAAGAUGAAGAUGUAGAAGACCCAGAAAAGGGAUUCAUUGAAAAAGAGGCUCAGUUGUCUGAGUUGGAGGAAAAGACUGCAAAAGGGGAACUAGAGAACGUAGAGGUGACAAUAGAGGUUAAAAUACAUGGACCAGAAGAAGAAGACUCAGAUACAGAAUGGGCUACGGAAUCAGAGCAUAGUCAAGAGGAACGGCAGGCAGUAACAGCACAGAUGGGUACAGAUGGUGGUGUGGCUGAUAUGGAUGAAGUAGAACAGGAAGAGGAACAACAGGAAGUAGCAAAGACUCAAGAAGGUGUGAUUGAAGUCAAAGCAAGAAGAGAGGAGGUAGAUUCCGGAUCUGAGGCACAGCUCCAGAAAGUUUCAACACAGGAGGAGGUUCCUCCAUCCACCAAAACAGUACCAGAGAAAACUCAACAGGAACCAGAGGUCGCUGUGGAUACCAAGGGACCAAUUGAGUUGCAGGAGACUGUUAUUACAAAUUCUAAAGCAACAGGCGGUAAAACAGAUUUUACAGGUAAAACACAUGAGGCCAGUGAUGUAAACGAGAUUAUCACCUCCAGGGACCCGAACAAGAACAAUCAGGGUGUACCGGUGUUGAUGAACACUGUUGAGGAGCUCCCACCAACACCAGUUCUCAAACUGAGGCUCGGAGAUACUGACGCACCAAUAGACUCUACACAGACCAAAGCCACAGUGCAGGAAGCAUGGAAGAUAGGAGCCAUAGCAGCAGCUUUCUUUCUCAUUCUGCAAACUGCUGUCACCAUUGUCUACAUUCUGAAGUGCAGGACGAAGCCAAAUAGUGUUGCCCCAAAGAAGAUCUGUGCUAGAGGAAAUGGAGGUAUAGAAGGUGACACAAACAACACAGAUACCACCGUUCCAAUCGAUGAACAAACCGUUAUAGAUGACCUUCCAGAGUACUCACAGGUCCAGCAAGAGGACGUUGCUAUGACAACUAUGCCACUGGAUUCCAUAGAGAAGAAUUCAUCCUGUGACCCCAGAACCUCUGUUGUUUAACAUUGCUGACCUUAAGGAGUAUGAUUCUUAAUCAUACAAGUGUGUGUAUGUGACUGAGGGUCUGACUGUGUUAUGUGUGUGUGUGUGUGUGUGUGUGUGUGUAUGUGUGUGUGUGUGUGUCUAUAUGUGUAGUGAAUGGUCUGGUUAGCUUUGACACCAAAUGUCACUCCUGUGUUAUUCUUUGUACAGUAGAAUGACCGUUAUUUGUGAAAAAGCAGAGUCAUAUCAGUUUUUAGGUUGGUUUCACAGUUAAAAUAUUUAAAUAUUUGGGGGAAAAAAGAUAAAUGUACUUGAAAAGCAAAACAGCAUAAAAUAUUAAGACUUGUUUUCAUAGAAUAUGUUUCGAUUUUAGCUUUUAUUGAGUGUUUUCUUGUUUAAAACAUCUAACAUUUAACAUGGUUUAUGUUUAAAAUAAACAAAUAAACAAACUAUUUGCCCAUGGGGUAAGAGAAAUAAACAUAACUCAGUAUUUAUUUUGAGAAAAAUAAGUUUUAUUAUAUUACACAGUUUUGCUUCUCAAGUAUAUUUAUUUUAUUUUAAAGAUAUUUGGAUAUUUUUACUGAAAAACAUGAUAAAAUACCUUUCUACCAACAUGUAUUGUCCUGCAAUCCAAAAAUAUAUUUAGGCCUAAAUCUAAGACAUGUAUUUGAGUUGAAUAUAAAAUUCCAUCCAUUUGGACUGAAAAAAAUAAAAAAAAAAUAAAAAAGUAAUAAACUUUAUGUAUGACUGACAAAUAUGCAUUACAUUAAGUAAACAACUAAUAUUUAGUUUUAUGCAUUUCUACAAAUCGCUUCAGAUCAGCUUUAAACUGUUAAUUGUGAAAACACUUACAUUUAUGUGUAAUCCUAAUACAUAAAUCUGAAAUUUAGGCCUAAAUAAAUUUUGGGUUUUGAUUUUUUACUGUUUUGUAUUGUUGAUGCAAUUACUAGUCACACAAAUGUAUUGCAUUAAACAAUUUCCAUAAAAUAUGUAAAAAUAUAUAAAAUCUUGGCAAAGUUUGGCAUAUGUACUAAUUGAAAUGUAAAGAGUUCUGUAUUUAAAACCAUCAAAUGUUAUGUCUUUCUAUCUUUCCUGCACAACCCUCUUGUAACAGACAUGAGACAAGUGUCUUUUCUUUAAUAAAUGGUUGGUUUCUGUCCACUAUUUUGCGUGUUAUGAAAGCAAAGACCACUAAUCUAUCAGACCUUUGAAAAGGUCGAACCAAAAGACGC
Molecule: long non-coding RNA, 2882 nt
Organism: Cyprinus carpio carpio
Lineage: Eukaryota; Metazoa; Chordata; Actinopteri; Cypriniformes; Cyprinidae
Source: Ensembl